RNAcentral lists this ribosomal RNA (253 nucleotides) under uncultured bacterium. RNAcentral's name for it is "partial 16S ribosomal RNA". It matches the Rfam family "Bacterial small subunit ribosomal RNA", at positions 524 to 776 of the family's 1533-position model. The record is from RNAcentral.
UACGUAGGGUGCGAGCGUUGUCCGGAAUUAUUGGGCGUAAAGAGCUCGUAGGCGGUUCGUCGCGUCGGCUGUGAAAUCCCGAGGCUCAACCUCGGGUCUGCAGUCGAUACGGGCGGACUGGAGUUCGGCAGGGGAGACUGGAAUUCCUGGUGUAGCGGUGAAAUGCGCAGAUAUCAGGAGGAACACCGGUGGCGAAGGCGGGUCUCUGGGCCGAUACUGACGCUGAGGCUCGAAAGCGUGGGGAGCAAACAGG